GGGCGAAUGCGGAUACUGCGCUUACGCUUUAGCUUUGGUUGAAGAACCUGUUCGUCCUCACCUUCCUCAUGGUCAUGAAUACAACUUCCUGAUGGUUGGAGUUCCAUAUGUGAAUCACCAGAUAUUGCGAUUUCUCCUUCCUCUAGCUCAUCCAGCAUCUUUUUUGAGAGAGGACCAGGCCUGGCAUCUAAAGCAGAAAGUGAUGCAAACUUUUGAGAGGUAGUUGAAGUAGCAACAGGCCGAGG
This 245-nucleotide unclassified non-coding RNA is filed under the name Hevea brasiliensis (rubber tree). Lineage: Eukaryota; Viridiplantae; Streptophyta; Magnoliopsida; Malpighiales; Euphorbiaceae. The record is from RNAcentral.